Long non-coding RNA from Oncorhynchus keta (chum salmon), 151 nucleotides. RefSeq lists it as uncharacterized. The record is from RefSeq and is a predicted model, not a curated record. NCBI's taxonomy places the organism in Eukaryota, Metazoa, Chordata, Actinopteri, Salmoniformes, Salmonidae. The transcript has 3 exons.
GGUAGACCUAGACAGAACAGGUGAGUACAGGUAGACCAAGACAGAGAAGGUGAGUACAGGUAGACCAAGACAGAGCAGGUGAGUACAGGUAGACCAAGACAGAGCAGGUGAGUACAGGUAGACCUAGACAGAGCAGGUGAGUACAGGUAGA